AUCCAGACUCCUACGGGAGGCAGCAGUGGGGGAUAUUGCACGAUGGGGGAAACCCUGAUGCAGCGACGCCGCGUGUGGGAAGACGGUCCUCUGGAUUGUAAACCACUGUCCCCAGGGACGAAGAUGACGGUACCUGGGGAGGAAGCUCCGGCUAACUACGUGCCAGCAGCCGCGGUAAUACGUAGGUGGCAAGCGUUGUUCGGAAUUACUGGGUGUAAAGGGAGCGUAGGCGGGAGGAUAAGUUGGACGUAUAAACUAUCGGCUCAACCGGUAGAGGCGUUCAAAACUGUCCUUCUUGAGUGAAGUAGAGGUAAGCGGAAUUCCUAGUGUAGCGGUGAAAUGCGUAAAUAUUAGGGGGAACACCAGUGGCGAAGGCGGCUUACUGGGCUUUAACUGACGCUGAGGCUCGAAAGUGUGGGUAGCAAACAGGAUUAGAUACCCUCGUA
This 446-nucleotide ribosomal RNA is filed under the name uncultured bacterium. RNAcentral's name for it is "bacterial SSU rRNA". It matches the Rfam family "Bacterial small subunit ribosomal RNA", at positions 329 to 792 of the family's 1533-position model. The record is from RNAcentral.